CCUACGGGGGGCUGCAGUGGGGAAUAUUGGACAAUGGGGGCAACCCUGAUCCAGCCAUGCCGCGUGUGUGAAGAAGGCCCUCGGGUUGUAAAGCACUUUCAGUGAGGAAGAACGCCUGGUGGUUAAUACCCAUCAGGAAAGACAUCACUCACAGAAGAAGCACCGGCUAACCCCGUGCCAGCAGCCGCGGUAAUACGGAGGGUGCGAGCGUUAAUCGGAAUUACUGGGCGUAAAGCGCGCGUAGGUGGCUUGAUAAGCCGGUUGUGAAAGCCCCGGGCUCAACCUGGGAACGGCAUCCGGAACUGUCAAGCUAGAGUGCAGGAGAGGAAGGUAGAAUUCCCGGUGUAGCGGUGAAAUGCGUAGAGAUCGGGAGGAAUACCAGUGGCGAAGGCGGCCUUCUGGACUGACACUGACACUGAGGUGCGAAAGCGUGGGUAGCAAACAGGAUUAGAUACCCUAGUAGUC
Molecule: ribosomal RNA, 465 nt
Filed under: Vreelandella stevensii
Lineage: Bacteria; Pseudomonadati; Pseudomonadota; Gammaproteobacteria; Oceanospirillales; Halomonadaceae
Description: partial 16S ribosomal RNA
Rfam family: Bacterial small subunit ribosomal RNA
Source: RNAcentral